This 70-nucleotide transfer RNA is filed under the name Lingula anatina. RNAcentral describes it as "tRNA-Trp". It matches the Rfam family "tRNA". Rfam says of the family: Transfer RNA (tRNA) molecules are approximately 80 nucleotides in length. Lineage: Eukaryota; Metazoa; Brachiopoda; Lingulata; Lingulida; Lingulidae. The record is from RNAcentral.
GGGACUGUAGUUUAACUAGAUCACAGGUUUUCAAAACUUGGGGUGCGGGUAGCACUCCCGGCCAGUCCCU